AACGAACGCUGGCGGCAGGCCUAACACAUGCAAGUCGAACGGGACCUUCGGGUCUAGUGGCGGACGGGUGAGUAACGCGUGGGAACGUGCCCUUUUGUUCGGAAUAGCCCCGGGAAACUGGGAGUAAUACCGGAUAAGCCCUACGGGGGAAAGAUUUAUCGCCAAAGGAUCGGCCCGCGUUGGAUUAGGUAGUUGGUGAGGUAAGGGCUCACCAAGCCGACGAUCCGUAGCUGGUUUGAGAGGAUGAUCAGCCACACUGGGACUGCGACACGGCGGAGACUCCUGCGGGAGGAAGCAGUGGGGAAUCUUAGUCAGUGGGGGAAGCCGUGAACGAGCCAAGCCGCGUGAGCGAUGGAGGCCUUAGGGUUGUAAAGAUCUUUAAGUGGGGAAGAUAAUGACUGUGCCCACAGAAGAAGCCCCGGCUAACUCCGUGCCAGCCGCCGCAGUAA
This 449-nucleotide ribosomal RNA is filed under the name uncultured bacterium. RNAcentral describes it as "partial 16S ribosomal RNA". It matches the Rfam family "Bacterial small subunit ribosomal RNA", at positions 29 to 523 of the family's 1533-position model. The record is from RNAcentral.